GGAACAGAGGGUACCUGUCAUUGACUAUUGACCUUGGAAUACCAUGUAAUUUCACCACAUUACUAAUAAAUAAUUCAGCCACAGUUUUUGCAUUAUAAAGAUGCUUCAAACUCAAAAAAAUUCCCAUAUUUGAUAGCCUGUCAAUCACAACCACAAUACAGUCCCGUCCCUGAGACCAUGGUAGUCCGAUGAUAAAAUCCAUUGUGUGUC
Molecule: unclassified non-coding RNA, 210 nt
Filed under: Hevea brasiliensis (rubber tree)
Lineage: Eukaryota; Viridiplantae; Streptophyta; Magnoliopsida; Malpighiales; Euphorbiaceae
Source: RNAcentral